This 72-nucleotide transfer RNA is filed under the name Ornithorhynchus anatinus (platypus). It matches the Rfam family "tRNA". From Rfam's summary of the family: Transfer RNA (tRNA) molecules are approximately 80 nucleotides in length. The record is from Rfam by way of RNAcentral. Lineage: Eukaryota; Metazoa; Chordata; Mammalia; Monotremata; Ornithorhynchidae.
GGCAGCGUGGCUCAGUAGAAAGAACAUGGGCUUGGGAGUCAGAGGUCAUGGGUUCGAGUCCCAGCUCUGCCA